CAGUCGCCACGGGAACACGCAGGUCCCGAGCGUUGUCCGGAUUUAUUGGGCGUAAAGGGAGCGCAGGCGGUUUAGUAAGUCUGAAGUUAAAGGCAUUGGCUCAACCAAUGUAUGCUUUGGAAACUGUUAGACUUGAGUGCAGAAGGGGAGAGUGGAAUUCCAUGUGUAGCGGUGAAAUGCGUUGAGAUCGGAAAGAACACCAACGGCGAAAGCACUCUGCUGGGCCGACACUGACACUGAGAGACGAAAGCUAGGGGAGCAAAUGGGAUUAGAUACCCCGGUAGUCCCUGUCUCUUAUACA
RNAcentral lists this ribosomal RNA (301 nucleotides) under uncultured bacterium. Its description in RNAcentral is "partial 16S ribosomal RNA". It matches the Rfam family "Bacterial small subunit ribosomal RNA", at positions 509 to 808 of the family's 1533-position model. The record is from RNAcentral.